CAUUGGCUACCCUAGCUUUCGUCUCUCAGUGUCAGUGUUGGCCCAGCAGAGUGCUUUCGCCGUUGGUGUUCUUCCCGAUAUCUACGCAUUUCACCGCUACACCGGGAAUUCCCUCUGCCCCUACCACACUCAAGCGAAGUAGUUUCGACUGCCGAUAUAGAGUUGAGCUCUACGAUUUAACAGUCGACUUACCAAGCCACCUACAGACGCUUUACGCCCAAUGAUUCCGGAUAACGCUUGCAUCCUCCGUAUUACCGCGGCUGCUGGCACGGAGUUAGCCGAUGCUUAUUCCUCAGAUACCGUCAGAACUUCUUCUCUGAGAAAAGGAGAUUACAACCCACAGGCCUUCAUCCUCCACGCGGCAUUGCUCCGUCAGGCUUUCG
RNAcentral lists this ribosomal RNA (383 nucleotides) under uncultured cyanobacterium. RNAcentral describes it as "partial 16S ribosomal RNA". Lineage: Bacteria; Bacillati; Cyanobacteriota. The record is from RNAcentral.